AUCAGAUCUUAUCUGUUCUAGUGCCGUCACUGUUGGUCAUGCAAUGAGAGAAGCUUCCAUACUAAGAGAAAAACUAACAGAGGACAAGGAGCCAAUGCCUCAACUGAGAACAGAGACUCUCACUGACAGUCAAAUCCUACACAAGGCUGCAGGUAUCCUAAGGAGAAGUAUGGAAGAGGUUAGGCAUGAGCCUCAGUUCUACACAGGGAGUGACACGCUUUCCCUUCUCCAGUGCAGUAAAUAUGUACCAGCAGAAGUGUAUGAUUUUGUUGACUGGUGCAUUAAUUCUGAUGCCUUCAGAAAACUGCAGACCUGUAUUGAUGACCCAGCUCUAAAGAAAAAUCUACGUGUGAUAACUUUUUGCCAUGGUCUAAUUGCACAGUGCUGUAGCCGACUAACACCUAUCACCCUAGGACUUGGCAUUAUGAUCCACCAUGAGUUUGGCAGCAAGUCCCUUAUCAACAAGCUACACAUGAUGGGUCACUGUGUGUCUUAUGAUGAAGUGCAUCAGUUUCUCACAUCUGCAGCAGCAGAUCAGUUACAAAGAAGCAAACGUGUUUACAUUCCUAAUGGACUAACAAGAAGUACAGAACACGGGAUGAUUGAUGCUGCCAUUGAUAACUUUGACCAGAAUGAAGAGACACUGGAUGGCAAGAAUACAACACACUGCAUGGCAAUAGUUGUAUACAGAAGAGGUGAUGAUGCUACAGUACACAACCCCAUCAAACGAGUUCCAGAGAGAUCUCUCACUGCUCUGAACAGCUGUGAUUUGGAUAAUGAAGAAGUUCAGAGGUACAUUAAGCCACCUAGGCGACCUGAACCACCAGCAGUUCCACAGCAAGUCAUAAAAUCAGACAGCACAAAAUCACAAACAGCAGAGGGCCAAGACUUACUUUGGAAGGUGAGUCGAGUCAUGAAAGAAGAAAAACAGAGAAUCCCAGGAUGGUCUGCAUUCAAUGCUUUCAUAUCCACAUCAAGCACUCCAUUAACCACAGUACAAUAUAUGCCCUUCAUAAGAGCUUCACCGUCAGACCUAUCUACUAUCUACACAGCUCUUCUGAAGCUCACAGAGCUAGCUGAAGAACUUGGACAGAGGCAUAUUCUCGUAACUGCUGAUCUUGCCAUCUAUAGCAAAGCACAAGAGAUUCUAUGGAGUAAACCUGAGGCCUUGGUAGGGAAGGUUACAAUGAGAAUGGGAGGAGUGCACAUCACAAUGGCCUUUCUGGCAAGUAUUGGAAAGUUGUAUGCUGAUGGGGGUCUCUUUAACAUUAUAACUGAGUCUGGGGUGUAUGCAGAAGCAACAGCUCGACAGAUGCUUCAAGGAAAACAACUUGCAAGAGGUGUAAGGUGCAUCAAGCUUGUAUCUGAGGCUCUGUUCAGGCUCUUCUGGAUUGGUAUAGUGUCCUGGCUUGACAAACAAGGCUCAAGUCCAUUGACUGGUGCACAAAAGCACCUGCUGCAAGAUGUACAGCAUGCCUUUUAUGGCAACGACCAGGUCUCUGCCAGACAGUUCUUAAAUGAAGUGGAGACAGACCUUCCUGAGCUGAAAAGCAAAAUACAGCAGUUUUCAGAGAGUGGAGUUCAACAAUCAGCAACUUUUAAGUACUGGCUGAAUUUCAUCAAAGGGGCUGACCUCUUACUAAGAAUGCUACGUUCGGAGCAUGAGGCUAACUUUGAACUUCAUCUCAGCUGCAUGUCUGAAGCAAUACCAUGGUUCUGGGCUGCUGGUAGGAUGAACUAUGCAAAAUACAUGCCAGUGUACAUAGCUGAAAUGAAAACUCUUGAGAAAAGCCAACCAGAUUCCUACAAAUUCAUGAAAGAUGGAGGGUUUGUGGUGCGACGUUCAGCCGAGAGAAACUUUAACUGCGUAGCCACAGAUCAAGCUCUUGAACAAACCAUAAACAGGGAAGGAAAAAGUCAAGGGGGCAUUGUUGGCUUCACUCUACGAAAGGGAGCUUUGAAAAGGUGGCUCAUGACAAGGCAUGUCACCAGCGAGUACUGUGAUGCUAUGACAGAGCUCUGUGAUGGAGCAGCACAUGCACCAAAAUCCCACAAAGAGCAUGGAGCAGCCCGAAUGGACAGGGAUGAAAGGGACAUUGUACAGAUAAUGGAGUUUAUGCAAGACAGACAGAACCCCUUCGAUUUGGAGAAAGUUCCUGCUGAGCUAAUCAACAUUGCAAGUGGACAAGUGGCAUCACAACAGGUGACAAAGUAUCUCUCAAGCUUUCUGGAAGAUGGGGAAAAGAGAAGUGCAGCUUUUAUUGAUGAACGCCUAAAGAGUGAAACACCAAAAAGUUUCUGGGACCCCGAGAAAAGACCAAAAAUGGCAACCUUUACGGAUAUGAAAGCAAGC
Molecule: long non-coding RNA, 2353 nt
Organism: Sparus aurata (gilthead seabream)
Lineage: Eukaryota; Metazoa; Chordata; Actinopteri; Spariformes; Sparidae
Source: Ensembl